RNAcentral lists this ribosomal RNA (439 nucleotides) under uncultured bacterium. RNAcentral describes it as "partial 16S ribosomal RNA". It matches the Rfam family "Bacterial small subunit ribosomal RNA", at positions 339 to 795 of the family's 1533-position model. The record is from RNAcentral.
CUACGGGGUGCAGCAGUGAGGAAUAUUGCGCAAUGGGCGAAAGCCUGACGCAGCAACGCCGCGUGGAUGAUGAAGGCCUUCGGGUUGUAAAAUCCUUUUUUGGGGAACGAUAAUGACGGUACCUCAAGAAUAAGUCCCGGCUAACUACGUGCCAGCAGCCGCGGUAAAACGUAGGGGGCGAGCGUUAUCCGGAUUUACUGGGCGUAAAGCGCACGUAGGCGGUGCCGUAAGUUGGAUGUGAAAGCUCCUGGCUUAACUGGGAGAGGUCGUUCAAAACUGCGGUGCUUGAGGAUAGAAGAGGAGAGUAGAAUUCCCGGUGUAGUGGUGGAAUGCGUAGAUAUCGGGAGGAAUACCAGUGGCGAAGGCGGCUCUCUGGUCUAUACCUGACGCUGAGGUGCGAAAGCGUGGGGGGCGAACGGGAUUAGAUACCCCUGUAGUC